RNAcentral lists this ribosomal RNA (305 nucleotides) under uncultured bacterium. RNAcentral describes it as "bacterial SSU rRNA". It matches the Rfam family "Bacterial small subunit ribosomal RNA", at positions 335 to 636 of the family's 1533-position model. The record is from RNAcentral.
CUGCCCUACGGGAGGCAGCAGUGAGGAAUAUUGGUCAAUGGGCGCAAGCCUGAACGAGCCAAGUCGCGUGAGGGAAGACGGCCCUACGGGUUGUAAACCUCUUUUGCCGGGGAGCAAGCCUGAGCACGUGUGCCCAGGCGGAGAGUACCCGGAGAAAAAGCAUCGGCUAACUCCGUGCCAGCAGCCGCGGUAAUACGGAGGAUGCGAGCGUUAUCCGGCUUUAUUGGGUUUAAAGGGUGCGCAGGCGGGCUGUUAAGCCGGCGGUAAAAAUUCAGGGCUCAACCCUUUCGAACCCGCGGAAAUGG